UACGGGGGGGGCAAGCGUUGUUCGGAAUUACUGGGCGUAAAGGGCUCGUAGGCGGCCAACUAAGUCAGACGUGAAAUCCCUCGGCUUAACCGGGGAACUGCGUCUGAUACUGGAUGGCUUGAGUGUGGGAGAGGGAUGCGGAAUUCCAGGUGUAGCGGUGAAAUGCGUAGAUAUCUGGAGGAACACCGGUGGCGAAGGCGGCAUCCUGGACCAUUACUGACGCUGAGGCGCGAAAGCUAGGGGAGCAAACGGG
Molecule: ribosomal RNA, 253 nt
Filed under: uncultured bacterium
Lineage: Bacteria
Description: partial 16S ribosomal RNA
Rfam family: Bacterial small subunit ribosomal RNA
Source: RNAcentral